GGGAUGUAUUGUGUGUUUCUCGUGUGUAAGGGAUGCAAAGUGUGUUUCUGUGUAUGUAAGGGAUGCAGUGUGUGUGUAAGAGAUGCAUUGUGUUUCUGUGUGUGUGUAAGAGAAGCAAUGUGUGUUUACAUGUGUGUGUAAGGGAUGCAUUGUGUGUUUCUGUGUAUGUGUGCAAAGGAUGCAUUGUCUUUAUGUGUAAGGGUUGCAUUGUGUGUG
Pelobates cultripes (western spadefoot toad) is the source of this 216-nucleotide non-coding RNA. The record is from the annotation of a GenBank genome assembly. NCBI's taxonomy places the organism in Eukaryota, Metazoa, Chordata, Amphibia, Anura, Pelobatidae.